CAGCGCUAAUGACGCGUCUCACCUGAUGAGUAUGGGGCUGGUGAGUGCAGACGCACAACCCCUGACCACACGCUUCGGAAUGGACCCUC
This 89-nucleotide ribosomal RNA is filed under the name uncultured Dinobryon. RNAcentral's name for it is "partial Eukaryotic large subunit ribosomal RNA". The record is from RNAcentral. Lineage: Eukaryota; Chrysophyceae; Chromulinales.